UACGUAGGAUGCAAGCGUUGUCCGGAAUUAUUGGGCGUAAAGAGAACGUAGGUGGUCCUUUAAGUUCGAUCUUAAAGACCGGGGCUCAACCUCGGGAAUGGAUUGAAAACUGGGGGACUAGAGGAUGUUAGAGGACGGUGGAAUUCCCAGUGUAGCGGUGAAAUGCGUAGAUAUUGGGAGGAACACCAGUGGCGAAAGCGGCCGUCUGGGACAUUCCUGACACUGAGGUUCGAAAGCUCGGGGAGCAAACAGG
Molecule: ribosomal RNA, 253 nt
Filed under: uncultured bacterium
Lineage: Bacteria
Description: partial 16S ribosomal RNA
Rfam family: Bacterial small subunit ribosomal RNA
Source: RNAcentral